GACGAACGCUGGCGGCGUGCCUAAUACAUGCAAGUCGAACGAGAGCGACCGGUGCUUGCACUGGUCAAUCUAGUGGCGAACGGGUGAGUAACACGUGGGUAACCAGCUCAUCAGAGGGGGAUAACAUCCGGAAACGGAUGCUAAAACCGCAUAGGUCUUCGAGCCGCAUGGCUUGAAGAGGAAAAGAGGCGCAAGCUUCUGCUGAUGGAUGGACCCGCGGUGCAUUAGCUAGUUGGUGAGGUAACGGCUCACCAAGGCCGUGAUGCAUAGCCGACCUGAGAGGGUGAUCGGCCACAUUGGGACUGAGACACGGCCCAAACUCCUACGGGAGGCAGCAGUAGGGAAUCUUCCGCAAUGGACGCAAGUCUGACGGAGCAACGCCGCGUGAGUGAAGAAGGUUUUCGGAUCGUAAAACUCUGUUGUUAGAGAAGAACAAGUGCUAGAGUAACUGUUAGCGCCUUGACGGUAGCUAACCAGAAAGCCACGGCUAACUACGUG
Molecule: ribosomal RNA, 498 nt
Filed under: uncultured bacterium
Lineage: Bacteria
Description: partial 16S ribosomal RNA
Rfam family: Bacterial small subunit ribosomal RNA
Source: RNAcentral